GGACACUAAAGAAAGAAACUUGGUAAAUUAUUUGGGUGGGGGACAAGGGGUAUUUUACCCCUCCAGCAGUUGCUGUUUGUUCUCUAUUCAAAGGCUGUGUUCGCUUAUGAGGAGGCAUUCUGGCUUUGGCUAAUUCUGUCUUAGAAAAGAACAGCAGUCAAACUCAAUCAAAUUAUAACUGCCGUUAGACUAGACAGUCCCAAGUGGACAAAGAAAUAGAUCACACCUUCGGUUGUGCUUAAUUUUCAGACAUUCAUUUUCACUUUGAACAAAUGGUCUGAGCCUUUCCUUGGGGUACUUUCUUACAUCUAGGAGAAGGAAAAAAAGGUCAUAUGUUCCUGAAGGCUGCGGAUUGUCACAAGUAACAAAGUCAUCUCAAAAGAAAAGACUGCCGGAGAGAGGAUAUCCUCUGAUCUAAUUUUCCUAAAAAGUAAAACUCAGCUGACAAGCCGAAGGGAUUCAGAAUCCAAUGUCACCAAGUUCAGUUAUAAAUUUGUUUCAGUCAUUGAAGCAUGUUUACUCUUGCAAUAUCAAAGCAUGUUAUCUUCACUAACUCUUGGACCCCUGAAAUUUAAGGUGACCCUAUCCACAUCCCUAAUCUCUAUGUGAAGCUCUGCAGUUGGACUUUCCUGACAGUUUCUUAAGGGAGGUCUGGGUGAUUAAGAAGUGUGAAAGAGGAUUAAGAUAAUGUUAAAAGCCCUAUCAGGAUAUUUCUAAAAUAAUCAGGGAUGCUGAAAGGCAAAGGCAUUUGUCUCUUUCACAAUUCCACCCACACUUAAUAGAAUGCAGUGCAAUGUCUUGGUGGUGAGACUGUACUUCCUCAAGAAGGUGUUUUCUUUUCAGCAUACUCUCUGGAGUCACACAAGUUCCCCAGGAGGAAGAUGGUACUACACCAGCUUUUUCUAAUGGUGACCCAAAUUGCUUGCCUGGUGGAACUUCAUUAGGAAGGAUUAGUGAGGAAAGCUUUGAUGGGACCAGAGUAUAAUCGUAGGGCACAAUCACAUCCACAGACAAAAUGGAAACUUAUCAGUGGUGGGAAAAGUUGGAGAAGGCCGGAUGAUCCUAUCUGACUCCAGAGACUGCCAGAUAGGCAGUUGAGUUCACUGGGAUGAAGAGUGGGUAAGAUGAAGAUAGGCUUCAAGAAGUGAUGCUUGUUGGUUUUCACUAUGAACUGAAACUUUGUUUAAUGGAGACAAUACAAAGAAGUGGCUAGUUAUUUAAAAGUUUAAUCAAAGCCACCAGUUAGUAUGCUUAUAAGGAAGGGGAACAUAGAAUAAGGGGAGAGAUAACUAUACUUUCUCCAUUUGAACAGGGAAUGGCAGCAUAUCUACUAUUGGCUGAAUUAAGAUGCACCCUUCUACCCUCUGUUCCCCCUUCAGCACACAUUUAUAACUAAACUAAAGUAAUCAAAAAACAAAAGCAGAUGUUUACUAUGAUAUAAUGACAGUGAAGUUUGCUUGCUUGGUUGGUUUUCUCCUAUUUUAGUCUUUGGUGAACUAAUGAACUCGAAGGUUUCUCUCUGAUUCUACCAGGUUCAAAACUGUGGAGGGCAGAGUCUGUGAAUGAAGGGUUUUUACAUUGGGAUAUCAGCCUAUAAUGUUACCACUUUCAGUAAAAAAAAAAAAUUAAAAAAAAUUAGUAUCUACGAUCUGAAGCAGCCCAAACAAAUACAGUGUGAAAUACACACAGUCUUCUCUGCAAAUUUCCUAAGAAUGAACAAUUUUAGAACAGUGCUCAUCCUGGGAGGGCAAAGGAUAUGUUGGAACAAUGACACAAUCAAAUAUCACUUUGGAGAUGGCAUUAGAGCUCAGUGGAGAGUGAUUGUCUACUGUUCAGUAAGCUAACUGUUCAAUCCCUAACAGAGACCCAGAGGUGGGGCAAAGAAGACUGGAGAAAAGAAAAUUAAACCUCUUUUAAGAAGGUUUGUUGAUUUAUAUUCAUUUAUCUGUAUAUGUAUCUAACUGUGUGUGCAGAUGCCUGCAGAGGCCAGGAGAGGGCAUCAGAUGUCCAAGAACUGCUACAGGUGACUGUGAGCUUCUUGAGUAGAUACUGCGAAUAGAACUGUGGUCCUGUGAAACAGCCGUAGGUGCUCUUGAUCACUGAGUCAUCUGCCUAACCUCUCAAUCUUUAUCUUAAAGUACCGUAUUGAGGAGGUCUUAAGAACAAAAGAGCCUUUCCGAAAAGUUAAUAAAUAUUUAAUUAAGCAGGAUAGCUUUAAAAAAAUUAUAUGAGAUUGUUUUAAACCAACCCCUUAAUAAAAUCAUUAAAGGAUAUGACGGUGCCCAAACCAAAUCACGGAGCAAUUAUGGGGAUUUCCCCAAGACAAAGGUACUCGGCCGGAGGGCCUUCGAUGGGUUCUGCCUCAAGCACUUUCUGAAGAUUUGUCAGAAAUGGAAUUGUGCAUUCUAGAAUCUAGGUGAUGUUUAGAAAUCUGGGUUGUAGCAAAUGCUCCAGGGAGUCCUAUCACUGCUGUGGUUUGCAAACCACUGCCUUAGGCAAUUUCUUUUUCAUAUGAUAAAUGUAAAAAACGAGAAAGGACAAAAAGAAAUGAGUGUUGUAUUAGUGCAUUUUUUUUUAAUGAAGUGUUCUGGUUUCCAAAUACUACUAUCAUAAGUCACAGAAAUAAAUAGAAAAAUUUACCCU
This 2643-nucleotide long non-coding RNA is filed under the name Mus musculus (house mouse). Its description in RNAcentral is "long non-coding RNA chr8:99417916-99420559". The record is from RNAcentral. Lineage: Eukaryota; Metazoa; Chordata; Mammalia; Rodentia; Muridae.